Molecule: long non-coding RNA, 595 nt
Organism: Homo sapiens (human)
Lineage: Eukaryota; Metazoa; Chordata; Mammalia; Primates; Hominidae
Source: Ensembl
AGCAUUACAUCACAGAUGUGUGAGCACCUACACAAAGCCUGCAAAUGCUGGACAGGGAACCUCGUGCAAAUAAUAUGGCAGUAUUGGCAGGAAUGAUGGAGGAAUCCCUUUAAAAUGUACACUUCAGGCAGCAGCAGCUAACAGAAGGCCUGACCAUCAGAAGGGAAAAUGCACAUGCAGAUGAAUGUGUGGCAGCACUGGGAUCCUCCAGAUAUCCAGUUGAUUAUGAGAACUAUGACUAUCUGCAUAGUCAGAGUCAUUCUUUGGAAUCAGACAGAUGUGUAUGGGCUGGAGUAUGUACAUAUUAGGGCCAUAACAAUUCUGAAAACUGGUGACGAGAAGCCACUCACCAUUUGCUACUAACAGCUCAAAGGUGAAGAAUAUUCCAUUAAAUAAAGCACUAAAGAAGAUAAGCCUCUCCUCAGGCGACAAAGGGCCAACCCCAAAUGAAGUCCAUGCUGCGGGUCUUAAGGUCAUCUGCUCAUAAGAAACUGGUCACUUCUGGUGUGAGUUAAGAUGAAUGGAGAGAGAAUUGGUUCCCAGAGACCACAGUGAAAAAGGUUAAGAACAUAAUAAAGACCGUAAGUUCCCCAAA